RNAcentral lists this ribosomal RNA (100 nucleotides) under Salmonella enterica subsp. enterica serovar Typhi str. CT18. RNAcentral describes it as "partial 16S ribosomal RNA". It matches the Rfam family "Bacterial small subunit ribosomal RNA", at positions 1 to 95 of the family's 1533-position model. Lineage: Bacteria; Pseudomonadati; Pseudomonadota; Gammaproteobacteria; Enterobacterales; Enterobacteriaceae. The record is from RNAcentral.
UUAAAUUGAAGAGUUUGAUCAUGGCUCAGAUUGAACGCUGGCGGCAGGCCUAACACAUGCAAGUCGAACGGUAACAGGAAGCAGCUUGGCUGCUUUGCUG